GUUGGCUGUGAAAUGUAUUUACAUUCUUGCUGCCUAUAAGGUGAGAUUAGCCCUCGUGUCCUGUUAGUCAGGAAUAUCUUCAGUGAUUGCUGUAGAGCCAGCCCUCGCUAGGCUUGACUUCCUUUGAGUAGCAGCAGGAAUGAAUUAAGCAAGUACAGCCAAAGAUAUCACAUGAAAGACUUGAAAUACCAGAGCUGAAGAAAGCUCUGUUCUGUGUGUGUCUCUGUGUGUGUGUGUGCAUAGCUGCAAAAAAAACCUGCUAAAGGUUCAGUUUUUCACAAUGGACGAACGCUGAAGGGGGAAAACUUCUUAAAAGAAAUAGAGGAAAUGGACUAUGCCUGGGAAAAAAAAAUUACUGCAGUAGUAAUGGAAAGGACAGCAUAGCAGUUGGUAUAUAUUGACCUUCUUUGCUGUGUCAACUCUCCCUUCUGCCCCCAGUGAAAUAGCCCUCUAACACAGCAGGAUGCAGCAAAGACUUCGGAGGGAAACCUCACUAUGAUCCAUUUGUAAGGACUAAGUACAUUUGAGAACAUCUGGUGCCACCUCAUCAGAUGAAACAUUAAACACAAAAUGCUUACUCAAAGAACAUCAAAGUGUUUUAUCUUUGUUGUCUUACACUCAGAAUUUACUGUUUCUGAUGGAUUUAGGCAGUUUAUAAACCUCAAUAGCAAGGCAGGUCCAUUCCUAUCUCUGUCCAUAGCAGUCGGGUUGUGGUUUCAGUUGUAUGAAGUGGAAAGUAGUAGCUGUAAAGUCUGUGCUUGAGGACAUCAUCAGAGCUGAAAGGGUGGUCAGUCUAACCUACAGGAAGUUUUUGGCUGACA
Molecule: long non-coding RNA, 821 nt
Organism: Haemorhous mexicanus (house finch)
Lineage: Eukaryota; Metazoa; Chordata; Aves; Passeriformes; Fringillidae
Exons: 3
Source: RefSeq, a predicted model, not a curated record